Non-coding RNA from Delphinapterus leucas (beluga whale), 2049 nucleotides. The record is from RefSeq and is a predicted model, not a curated record. NCBI's taxonomy places the organism in Eukaryota, Metazoa, Chordata, Mammalia, Artiodactyla, Monodontidae.
AUGAAGUAAUCUUUCUGAGGGUCCAGAGGAACCAGCGAUAAAGCUGGGAUUCUAACCCAGGUCUGUUUGAUUCCAAAGCCUGUGCUUUCAUACACUGUAGCUUCAUUUGAGAACACACGCACACACACCACACACACUGCCUCAAUGAAGUGUUGCCCUGCAGCACAGUUAGCCACUAGUUCAGAAAUCCCUUCGUCCAGCUGCAGUACGUGCGGCUGGGAAAUGAAUGACAAGCGUGUGAGAACAGCCCAGGAAAAGAAAGGAGGUACAAAUUCCCUGAAAAACAACUCCCAGAAAGGCACGUCUGUGUUGAUGUAUAAAAAUAGAAAAGGGUAGAAUCCUUGUGGCUGUGGAGCCCUAGCCUAGCAGCAGCAGCACGACAUCCUGUGACGUCAAGAAGUGGUGGCGGAAGUCGCUGCGAACAAUGGCCACAGAUGCCAGCCGAGGAGAGAGCACUGCUGGGGGAAGACGCGUGUGUCACCCGGCAGCUGCGGGGCGUGCACAGGAAGGAAGUGCAGAACCCGCGGCAUCACUGGCCUCCCUCCGAGCGCUGUUUUGAGCACCGAGCGACCUCAGAAGUGCAGGGCGCUCAGCACAGGUGGUUUAUCGUCACUGUUGUUAUGCCCUUCAUGUGGCCCAUUUCCCGCAGACACACAAGACAGAAACAGUAGCCUCUUUGAAAGAGGAGCUCCUGGACAGCUCUUGGGAGGGAAAUGCGCUCUUCUUUUUGACUUUUAUGACAUGAAGAAUCCGAAUAUGCUGGUCUUGGCACCCUAAAACAAGCCGGAAAGGGAAAUUCAGAUUUCACGUGACGCACAAGCAAAAGUGAUUUUCGCCCACCUGGAAUUUCUUCCCUUGAAAAGUUCUAAAGGAUCCUAGAAUGAGAGCAUAAUAUAGACGACAGAAAGUGAAUGCGUGGGCACAAGACGUCUUGUCAGCGGAGGAGAUUUGGCUGCCACAGGGAUGCACAGUGAGGAGCUCUGAACCGUACACGUGGGAAACCAAGCGCUGGGUGCAGCCUGGGAUGAGAAGCGAGGAAGACACGAGCCAUCUGUGGGCAGUGUGGCAGCUCCCAAGGGGAAGAGGCCAGUGUGAACCCCAGAAAAGUCAGGGUCUCAGAGCCGCAUGGCUCUGUGUUUAUAAUACCCUGAGGUUAUUGAACACAUUGCCCGGAGAAGCCUGUUCCAUAAAUCCACAAAGGGAAGGGCCGCUCCGUUCUCAACUGGGGGUAAUCUUUUUAAAAAAUUUGUAUUACUUUUUCAAUAUUGUUGCCACUGCUGCACCCUUGGCAUUAUCUGUGAGCAAUCCUGUGGACCUGGCAGACGCCGGGACCAACUUGCAUUGGGAAAUGCCACAAGUGGAAAAUCUGAGUAAAAAUUUUCAGGAAAAUACAAUAAAAUAUUCCUGAGAGUUAAAAUUAAUCAUGGGGACGUCCCUGGCGGUCCAGUGGUUAAGACUCUGCACUUGCACUGCAGAGGACACAGGGUUCGAUCCCUGGUCAGGGAACUAAGAUCUCACAUGCCUGCAUGGCGCCUCCCCCCUCCCCCCCAAAAAAUCGCUUGAAUAUGUGUGGCUCAUAUUCUUGAGUUUAAAGUUAAGUUUCAAGGGGUGUCCCUUAUAACAUUCAUAUAAAAAUUACCAUUAUGUUUGAAAGCUUCUAUUUCAACUGAUGUUGGGAUUUUAAUAUUACUUCUAAGGAAUGUGAUAUAUCAGAGCUACUACUGGCUCUUACAUGUCUCAGCUUUUCCUAUAAAUGGGAAUAAAAAGAUACCUGCUAAGAGGUAUGGAUUCAUUUUAAGUUAUUGGUGAUGCCCAACUAAACUAUCAUCAUGAAGUAAAAUGCAUUAUUAUUCAGAAAUAUUGAAAGCUUAAUAAGCGGAACGAGCUUGGUAUCCUAAAGACCAACUGACUGAAAAUCAAUUGUCUUAUGUGAAAAUAAAGUGUUUUCUCUAUGUGACUGGUUUCUUUUUGUGCAAUAGGAAAGUUAAUCUGGAAUCACUAAGAUGGAAUGUUCCAGAAAUAGACACUGUUCGUGUAUGUAGGGGCAGG